GCAUAUCAUAGCGAGAAAAGAAACUAACAAAGGGAUUCCCCUUAGUAACGGCGAAGUGAAGCGGGAAAGAGCUCAAAUUUAAAAUCUGUAAGGUUCAACCCUUGCCGAGUUGUAGUUUGAAGAAGUGUUUUCCGCGGCGGCUGCAGUACAAAUCCUUUGGAACAGGGUAUCAGAGAGGGUGAGAAUCCCGUCUUUGACUGCAGACUAGUUGCACUGUGAUACACUUUCUAAGAGUCGAGUUGUUUGGGAAUGCAGCUCAAAAUGGGUGGUAAAUUUCAUCUAAAGCUAAAUAUUGGCAAGAGACCGAUAGCGAACAAGUACCGUGAGGGAAAGAUGAAAAGAACUUUGAAAAGAGAGUUAAAUAGUACGUGAAAUUGUUAAAAGGGAAACGCUUGAAGUCAGUGUUGCCGGCGGAAAAUCAGCUUCGUGCGGACGGCUUGUCGCGGUGGAGGGAGUGUCAAAGCCCCUUGCCGCGGCACAGCCGGGCGGAUGGAGUGCACUUUUCAGUCGGCAGGUCAACAUCAAUUUCAGCCGGUGGAAAAAUACAAGUGGAACGUAGGUUGGAGCAAUCCGACUGUUAUAGCCACUCGUGGAUACACCGGCGGGGAUUGAGGACAGCAGUGCAGGCCACUACGGCGGAAGCGCUUCUCUUUUCACAGGGGGGCACACCAAGACAGCAAGCUGACUUGGCGUGUACACCGCUGGGAACGGAGGGGCUGACUUCUCCUGCACUAAGGAUGUUGACGAAAUGGCUUUAAACGACCCGUCUUGAAACACGGACCAAGGAGUCUAACAAAUAUGCGAGUAUUUGGGUGGCAAACCCAUAUGCGCAAUGAAAGUGAAUGUAGGUGGGAUCCCGGUUACGGGAGCACCAUCGACCGAUCUGGGAAUAAUUUAGGAUAGAUUUGAGUAAGAGCAUAUCUGUUGGGGACCCGAAAGAUGGUGAACUAUGCCUGAAUAGGGGUGAAGCCAGAGGAAACUCUGGUGGAGGCUCGUAGCGAUUUCUGACGUGCAAAUCGAUCGUCAAAUUUGGGGUAUAGGGGGCGAAAAGACUAAUCGAAACCCAUCUUAGUUAGCUGGCUUCUGCGA
This 1089-nucleotide ribosomal RNA is filed under the name Basidiobolus microsporus. Its description in RNAcentral is "LSU rRNA". It matches the Rfam family "Eukaryotic large subunit ribosomal RNA", at positions 38 to 963 of the family's 3401-position model. Lineage: Eukaryota; Fungi; Basidiobolomycota; Basidiobolomycetes; Basidiobolales; Basidiobolaceae. The record is from RNAcentral.